AGAGUUUGAUCCUGGCUCAGAAUGAGCGCUGGCGGCGUGCCUAACACAUGCAAGUCGGAUGUGCCGCAAGGUGCAUGGCAGACGGGUGAGUAACGCGUGGGGAAUCUACCUCUUUGUGGGGAAUAACGCUCCGAAAGGAGUGGUAAUACCGCAUGAGAUCCAUGGCUGGGAUGCUGUGGAUGAAACCUGGGGACCGCAAGGCCUGGGGCAAGGAGAGGAUCCUGCGUCUGAUUAGCUAGUUGGUGAGGUAAUGGCCCACCAAGGCGACGAUCAGUAGCCGGCCUGAGAGGGUGAUCGGCCACACUGGAACUGAGACACGGUCCAGACUCCUACGGGAGGCAGCAGUGGGGAAUUUUGCGCAAUGGGCGAAAGCCUGACGCAGCAACGCCGCGUGGGUGAUGAAGGUCUUCGG
Molecule: ribosomal RNA, 412 nt
Filed under: uncultured bacterium
Lineage: Bacteria
Description: bacterial SSU rRNA
Rfam family: Bacterial small subunit ribosomal RNA
Source: RNAcentral